AUGGACUCACGGCGGCGCGCCGAGCUCCUGGCGAGCCUCUCGCCGGAAGGUCGGGCGACGUAUGAGGUACUCAGGGCCCAGCUAGCCUGUGAUCUGGGCCAUGUCUUCCCCGACGCCAAGCACGGCCCCGACCUGGCGUUUUCGACUUCGUUAACAACGCGCUCGGCCAAGCCUCUGUGCGUCUCGAGCAGCGGCAUCACAACCGACGGUUCCCAUGAAUCAGAGGUUGCCACCUCCUCCACCAACCCCGCUCCAGCAGCGGCGGCAGCGGCCAGGGGCAUCUCCGUGUCGAGCGCGACUUCCGCCGCCCCCGCAUCAUGCGGCGUCACCUCCCUCGUCGCGUCGGCCUCCAACUGCUCGACGAGCCCAGGAGGAGACAACGGUGCGGCACCAGACACCACUCCUCCGGUGUCCACGGGUCCAAUCGGCGUGCCUGCGUCCACCAUGCAGAGCGAGGCGGACCAGGUGCUUGAGACGCCCGUCACCUGUUCGACAUUGGGCCUCUACCCCGUCGCCAGCACCACCCAUGUCAACAAGGUGCCCCUAUCCAACCUCGUUGUGUCCCCAUCACGAUCCUACUCCACCUCCACCUGCAUGGCAGUCGUGUCCGUCUCAGAUGCUUCAGAACUUGCCCUCGCCAUGCCCACCAUGUGCUCGACCGAGUGGCCAGGAGGGGACACUAAUGCAGCGAGGACAGUUCUUUCUCCAACGGCAGCGCCUGGAAGGUGUUUGACAGAAGGUGUAGACGAAGACACCAGCGCGAAGUCGCCAGAAUCUGCACUAGGCAUGUGUCUGCCGACCAUAGUACCUCUGGCCUCUUUCCACUCCAAUCUUAUGCCACUAGCUGAUGCAAAUUUGAGGUGUACUCAUGUCGAGAAGGCCAACAUGUUCCAGUUGCUCAACAGAAGUGACAACAUUCAGGUCAGCAAGGAGCAGGACAAGUCACCAUUAGUACCCUGUUUAGUUCAUGCCAUUGCUACACGGGCAGCAUCUCGGUUUCAACUUCAGUAUUUCUGUGAGAACUUAGGUAUGUGUGAGCAUCCUUAUUUUCAGUGUUGCAUGUGUGCACCCUCACCAUGGGAUCCAGGAAGGCAGAUAAACAAGUUAGGAGGCCUAGUUAUGAACAGAAAUUAUGUGUCGAUUGUCUUGCGGCCGUCACGUCCACCUGAUCGAACAGAGCUUACUGACAUGAUCCCAAGUUUGUUGUUGCCUCUGGAGGUGUCUCAAACGCAGAGCAAUUUUCAGCAGAGCAAUUUGUUUCUGCAAGAUCAGGGGACUUGGUGUGAGAAGCAGUACAGUAGCUGCAAAAAGAUGAUAUGUGAAGAGGCAACACAAUAUGGUUUGGAAUCUUUUCCUUGGUACAUUGCAUGGUUACAUUUUGGGCUAGAGUUGUUGUUAUUUGGAGACACGUAUUAUUUCCUUGCAGCCUUGUUUCUAACUGUACCACAUGAAGGUAACUACUGUUUUGCUAUCAGUUUUGCCUUACAUACAACAAGUUCUGCCAAAAAAUAUUCCCAAGUUGUUGCUGAGAAGUGGAUUUCCUACUGUGAGUUUUUUUGCAAUCAACAUGUUUUGGUCAUAUCAGCAAGUAAUUCGUGCCCUUGGACUGCUAUCAUCUGA
RNAcentral lists this ribosomal RNA (1620 nucleotides) under Triticum aestivum (bread wheat). Its description in RNAcentral is "partial small subunit ribosomal RNA". The record is from RNAcentral. Lineage: Eukaryota; Viridiplantae; Streptophyta; Magnoliopsida; Poales; Poaceae.